AGACCACAGAGACUGAAAAUAAGAAAGGGGUGAGGCCUAAGGGACAAUCAGGAUGUUUUUCAGAGAGAAGUGUGGAUGCUGGACAGGAAGAACCACAGAUACCAGAUACGGGUACUGUUGUAACUCUGUUCUCCAUGAAAAAAAAGGAAGAAUCAACACUUUCAGAGAUGGAGCCUGUUGAGCCACAGUACCAACUAGUCAAUGCUGAAUCGACUUCUCCCUUUCUACAUUGCCUGAGAGAAGUCAUUGGGGAAUACUCUGUACACGAAUUUUCACUGUUGGGGAAAACAGAGAGUCAAGGGAUUGGAUUGUGGAUUGCAUUGGUGGUUUUCCUCAGUUUCCUCAUCUUCUCCACAAGUUUCUACAUAUCGAAUGCAGAGCAGCCCUUCUUCAAAGGACCUCCUACGGAAGCUGCUAAGGAACUCAGUCUGUAGCUCUGCGUGGAGCCAUGUGUAAACACUGAACUGAGACCUGCCACCUCCUACUACCUAAGGGCCCAUUUUCAUCUGAUAUCAUCCCCCAGAAACAAACUCAUGAUGACUUCCAUGUUUUUUUUAGAUUAGAUACAUGGAGAAUUUUCCUUUCCCUUAGAAUUAAAAUCCUGCAUUCUAAUUUUCAGUAAGCUUUUUUAUUUCUGAAUAAUUUUAAAUUUAAAGAGAAGUUGCAAAGAUAGUAUAGAAUGUUCCCUUAUACCUGUUUUUAUUUAGAGUGAUGUUCCCAGGAGAAAUGAUAAUGCAGCAAUGGACAAGAACAGGAACAAGAGACAGUCUUACCAUCUUCUUACAAUUUAUAGAUGGGACAGUGGAAAGAGAAGCCACAUCGGGGUUGGGCAUGCAGAGACCUGGUCCUAAAUCUGUGUGACUUUUGCGAAAUCCUUUUGCCUCACAGAGCUCUAGGUUCUUAUCUGUCAAACAGGAACCAGACCAUCAGAUCCGUAGAGAUCCAACCAAUGAAGGAGACUUCGAAAACUUCACAUUGCCGUGUCAAUGUGAGGUUGCUGGAUGGUUAUGACAAGAAAUCACAUUAAAUUCACUGGGGUAACAUUGUUCAUGAAACGGGAUAAUGUGUUUCAGCGAUGAACCACCCAUGGCCUUACUACAGACAUAUUUCCACUUUGAAAAUGUGUGUGAGUGUACAUGUCUGUGUGUGAGGCAGAGAUUAGAAAGUGUAAAUGUGUGCGUUUUCAUUUUACACAUCUUACAUUUUCCUUUAAUUUGUUUGAAAGCCUGUUUUGUUUGUGGCUUCCAUUCCUGGAAGUCCCAUGAGUUGUUAGUGGUGAAGAUGGAACAGAUGUGUCCAACCCGGGGGACUCCUGCCCUCAGGGACUGAGCAGCUGCAAACCUCUCUCUCAUCUGAUUCCACUGUUUCUUCCACAUGUACACAUCAUGAGAAAUAUUGUUCAAUCAAUAUCUUCCCUUAAAUCAACUCAUAUGCUUAUUUACAUGAAUUUACCUAAAACAGAAACUUGAUAUCACUUCUGUAAAUGAAAAAAUUAAACUUUCUGGCUUUAAAUAAAGCAUAACAAUAAUAAUCAUGUCAAAA
This 1542-nucleotide long non-coding RNA is filed under the name Homo sapiens (human). RNAcentral describes it as "long intergenic non-protein coding RNA 943". Lineage: Eukaryota; Metazoa; Chordata; Mammalia; Primates; Hominidae. The record is from RNAcentral.